Molecule: small RNA, 76 nt
Filed under: Flavobacterium granuli
Lineage: Bacteria; Pseudomonadati; Bacteroidota; Flavobacteriia; Flavobacteriales; Flavobacteriaceae
Description: Flavo-1 RNA
Rfam family: Flavo-1 RNA
Source: RNAcentral
GUUUAGCCCUGAUGGAAGUGAAAAUCCUUUUUCUUUUAUUAAAAGGAAAAGAUUGAAACGGACAGCAGGAGGGAUA